RNAcentral lists this unclassified non-coding RNA (267 nucleotides) under plant metagenome. RNAcentral's name for it is "partial contains small subunit ribosomal RNA, internal transcribed spacer 1, and 5.8S ribosomal RNA". The record is from RNAcentral.
UUUCCGUAGGUGAACCUGCGGAAGGAUCAUUAUCGUACAAAAUGUGAGGGGCCUGCGUGGGUUGUUGCUGACCCAAUAUUCGUGCACGCCCGAGGGUUUCCUCUUGCAUCAUCAUCAAUCUCACCCUUUGUGCAUCACCGCGUGGGCACCCUUCGGGAUCAUCUAGGAGGGGGGCUCGCGUUUUCACACAAACCCCCCUUUUAAAAGUGUAGAAUGACCACAUUUAUGCAAUCAAUACAACUUUCAACAACGGAUCUCUUGGCUCUC